Molecule: long non-coding RNA, 290 nt
Filed under: Musa acuminata (dwarf banana)
Lineage: Eukaryota; Viridiplantae; Streptophyta; Magnoliopsida; Zingiberales; Musaceae
Description: long non-coding RNA (MACU_LNC010115)
Source: RNAcentral
AUGCAGUUAAUAGUGGACAGAGCCAUAGGUAUUGUUGUCAGAGUCGAGGUAGGCUAACACACUGGAGGCCGGGUCAGAUGGCAAGGAAUAAGGCUAAACCGAGUAGUGGCAGCUUUCAUUGCUACUGACUUUCCAGCGGGUUCAGGGCAUACAAAAAAGCACUUAGCAGUUACUUGGCGGGGAAGAAGAUAAAGGCUUUGAAGCUGGGUUGACUCUUUAAGUAUAUGGCUUGCUAGUAGUAGGGUGGAUUCUUGAGCCAUCGUUCCGCUGCCCUUCCUACGUAGCUUGGC